UUCUUGGAGAGUUUGAUCCUGGCUCAGGACGAACGCUGGCGGCGUGCCUAAUACAUGCAAGUCGAGCGGACUUGAUGGAGAGCUUGCUCUCCUG
Molecule: ribosomal RNA, 94 nt
Filed under: Paenibacillus rhizosphaerae
Lineage: Bacteria; Bacillati; Bacillota; Bacilli; Caryophanales; Paenibacillaceae
Description: partial 16S ribosomal RNA
Rfam family: Bacterial small subunit ribosomal RNA
Source: RNAcentral